RNAcentral lists this ribosomal RNA (640 nucleotides) under Bacillus sp. (in: firmicutes). RNAcentral describes it as "bacterial SSU rRNA". It matches the Rfam family "Bacterial small subunit ribosomal RNA", at positions 69 to 689 of the family's 1533-position model. The record is from RNAcentral. Lineage: Bacteria; Bacillati; Bacillota; Bacilli; Caryophanales; Bacillaceae.
AAUGGAUUAAGAGCUUGCUCUUAUGAAGUUAGCGGCGGACGGGUGAGUAACACGUGGGUAACCUGCCCAUAAGACUGGGAUAACUCCGGGAAACCGGGGCUAAUACCGGAUAACAUUUUGAACCGCAUGGUUCGAAAUUGAAAGGCGGCUUCGGCUGUCACUUAUGGAUGGACCCGCGUCGCAUUAGCUAGUUGGUGAGGUAACGGCUCACCAAGGCAACGAUGCGUAGCCGACCUGAGAGGGUGAUCGGCCACACUGGGACUGAGACACGGCCCAGACUCCUACGGGAGGCAGCAGUAGGGAAUCUUCCGCAAUGGACGAAAGUCUGACGGAGCAACGCCGCGUGAGUGAUGAAGGCUUUCGGGUCGUAAAACUCUGUUGUUAGGGAAGAACAAGUGCUAGUUGAAUAAGCUGGCACCUUGACGGUACCUAACCAGAAAGCCACGGCUAACUACGUGCCAGCAGCCGCGGUAAUACGUAGGUGGCAAGCGUUAUCCGGAAUUAUUGGGCGUAAAGCGCGCGCAGGUGGUUUCUUAAGUCUGAUGUGAAAGCCCACGGCUCAACCGUGGAGGGUCAUUGGAAACUGGGAGACUUGAGUGCAGAAGAGGAAAGUGGAAUUCCAUGUGUAGCGGUGAAAUGC